GUAGGGUGCAAGCGUUAUCCGGGAAUCAUUGGGCGUAAAGAGCUCGUAGGCGGUUCAGCAAGUCGGCUGUGAAAUUCCGAGGGCUCAACCUCGGAACUGCAGUCGAUACUGCUGUGACUCGAGUCGGUAGAGGAGAAUGGAAUUCCCGGUGUAGCGGUGAAAUGCGCAGAUAUCGGGAGGAACACCAGUAGCGAAGGCGGUUCUCUGGGCCGGCACUGACGCUGAGGAGCGAAAGCGUGGGUAGCAAACAGGAUUAGAUACCCUGGUAGUCCACGCCGUAAACGUUGGAUACUAGGUGUGGGGUUCCGAUCAACGGUCCCCGUGCCGAAGCUAACGCAUUAAGUAUCCCGCCUGGGGAGUACGGCCGCAAGGCUA
RNAcentral lists this ribosomal RNA (375 nucleotides) under uncultured organism. RNAcentral's name for it is "partial 16S ribosomal RNA". It matches the Rfam family "Bacterial small subunit ribosomal RNA", at positions 527 to 896 of the family's 1533-position model. The record is from RNAcentral.